This 9746-nucleotide long non-coding RNA is filed under the name Lupinus angustifolius (narrow-leaved blue lupine). RNAcentral's name for it is "long non-coding RNA (LANG_LNC002098)". The record is from RNAcentral. Lineage: Eukaryota; Viridiplantae; Streptophyta; Magnoliopsida; Fabales; Fabaceae.
GCUAUUUUAGUUUACCCGAAUUUAUAAUACUUUUUCAUAAGUGGUAUAACUCCUUUAAUUAUUGUAUAAAGGGUUAUUAAAAUCCAUCUUAGCAGAUUUGUUAUAUAAAAAUAGAAUCCAUCUGAAGCUAUGAAAAUUCUGCAUAUCUUGAACUGUAAUUUCUCCUUUUCAUUAAUUAAUUCUCCAACAUUUAAUUGAGUUGUAUAUAUUAUGACCUAAUUUCCUUAAUUACUAUAUCAUUCAUUCGCACACUACCUGAAAAUGGAAUAAGAAUCAAUCAUAAUCACUUUUCAAUAUCAAUGCAUCUUUUCCGCAAACAAAAAUUCUCUUCCACAAAUCCACCACCAAGAAUAACAUUCUCCCACAAUACUCAUUCAAUUAUGGAUGAGAUUUUUCUCUUAUUUUUAUCCUCACCCAAAUAAUAGGAUCAACAACCACGUAAUAACAAACAUAACCAUAAUCCAAAAAUAACAAUUUUGUCACAAAAUCAGGAAAGUAAUUCACCACAAAUUUCCCCCUCCACCACUAUAAAACUCUCUUGAUCCCACCCUUUUCUCCUCAGGCUGCAAAUUAUCUCUUAAACAAUAAAAGCAAAUAAAAGUGUAUUAGGUAACCCUAUCUCAUUCUUUUUUGUUACCUAAUAUACACCAUGGAGAUGAAGAAGGUUGCUUGUGCUGUUCUCUUUGCUGCCGCCUCCGUUAGCGCCGUCGUUGCCACCGAUGUGCCUGCCCCAGCACCAGGACCUAGCAGUGGUGCCACCACUGUUGGUUCAUUCAUUGGUGCCUCAGUUCUUUCCUUUGUUGCCUACUAUUUGUUUUAAGUGUGACACUUAUAUGAAUACUUGUGUGAGUAUGAAGAUGAGAUGCAUAAUUUGGAAGGAAUUGUACAAUGCUAGUUGAAGCAACAAGAGGAGAAGGAAAAUGAGAUUUUUCUUAUUUUUUCUUUGCCCUUUUGGCUUUGCAUUUUUUUCUAAGUUGUCUUUUCUUUCCAUGUUGAAUUUGUAGGCAUGGAAUGAUUUUAUAUUGUUGAAUAAAGUUUCUUAUUUACUAUUAAAUGUUGGGUUAUUUUUAUUUUACUUAUUUUGUUGAGUUAUGAUUAUUAUCUUAUAAAUAUUAUGAUUUUAAUUAAGGUUGUGAUUGUAUUUGUAAAAAAAGUGAGGAUAAUUGUAAAAACUUGUAUUGCAGUACAGCAAUACUGUAGCUAUAUUCAUAACUACAAUAUUGUGCAUACAAAUAAAACUGGGCUAAAAUUUAAACACAUGCUCAUGUUAUCGAUAUAUAGAUCAUCAUAUGAUAAUGAGAGUUUCUUAAAUUUCAAUGUUGUGUUGAGUCUAUAAAUUAAUAUUAUUGACUGGUUAUCAUUUACAGAGCUUUUUGCUAUACAUAUACUUAAUUAUUCAUAUAGUUAAGUGUAAGGAUGGUACUCACAAAGCAAAAAUUAUGGAAUGAUUCAUCAUAAAAGUAAAGAAUACAUUUCACAGUUUGACUCAAAAAUUGCCUUACAAGGCAGGCACGACCGAUGAAAUAUAUCUAUAAAUGUAUGUUUAAUUGUAAGAUAUCGCUGAGAAUAGUGUAAUUCAUUUAGCUAAUUUCGUUAAUCGAUUAAUAGAUUGUAUAAUUGAUUAAACAAUUUAUUAUUUCUGUCAUAAAAGACAUUGUAGCUGAAAUAAAGAAAGCGCGAAAUAUAUUUUUCAAUUUUCUCUCUUCUCACAUUUCACUCGAUAAUCGAUUACCCCAUAUCUUCAUCGAUUAAAUUCUUUCUUUCUUUUCUUCCAACAGUGGUCUCUAGAGCUAAGUGAUUAAGGAUCUAUGGAGGUACCAAGUUAAGGUGCUAGAACCGUCAAGUGGUGAAGCUCACAGAUGUGAUCAGAGACUCAAGGAGAAAGGGGGUGAAAGUGAAGCUGCAAAAGAGAUAUGGCAACCUCACAUGGAUUCUCAAUGAAUCUUGCAAUUCUUGAUGGGAAGAACUAUGACCAUUGGAGCAUUCAAAUGAAGGCAAUAUUUGGGUUCCAAGAAUGUCUUAAUAUUGUGCAAUUUGGGCUGCAAACAACAGAGGAAGAUUCUGUGGAAUAUAGGGAAGCCAAGAAGAGAGAUUGCAAGACAAUCUUCUUGAUUCAUCAAUGUGUAGAUCGUGCCAACUUUGAGAAGAUUUCUGCAGCUUCUUGUUCCAAGGAAGCAUGAGAAAUCUUAGAGAAAAAUUAAUCAGGUGAAGUGAAGGUGAAGAAAGUGAGACUUCAAACACUUAGAAGGCAGUAUAAAUUGCUGUAAAUGGAUGAACAAUAGACAAUUGUAGAAUACCUUAAAAGAAUUCGUGGUUUGAUCAAUCUAAUGAAAGAGUGCGGAGAGACACUGUCUGAGCAAGGUGUGGUGGAGAAGAUACUUAGAACACUCACUCCCAAGUUUGAUCAUAUUGUAAUGGCAAUAGAGGAGUCAAAAGAUCUUGAAAACUUCAAGAUUGAUGAAUUGCAAGGCUACUUCGAAGCACAUGAACAAAGAUUCAUAGAAAGGAAAUCUAAUAGGCAACCUCAAUAGGCCUUAAGUGCUCAAUUCAGAAAGAAAAUUUCUGCACAUAAUGAUAGAUUAAAAAGGGACAAAGGAAAAUGGCAUGGUGAUAAGAGAUUUGAGCAUGAAAAUUCAAGAUCACAUGGACCAAGGUCUCAAAGGAUUAACUCCAUUAAUCAAAGUUAUGAUAUUGAGAUCAACAAGGCUGAUAAAAGGGGUAAUCAAUGGAAUGGUAUGAAGAAAAAGGAUACGAGUAUAAUUCAAUGCUUCAAUUGUAGAAAUUAGGGUCAUUUUGCCUCAAAAUGCAAAGAGAAAAAGGUCACUCAUGUUAAAGACAGAGAGGCUAGACUAGCCAAGGAUGUGGACUCAGAAGAAGAGGUGUUGCUACUAGCCAAAAGAGAUGGAUUCUAUAAAGAGGCUAGUGAUUCAGAUGAUGCAUUUUUUAUGGUGACAACUCAGUGUGAUCAGAGUUCAAACAGUUGGUAUCUUGACAUAAGGUGUUCCAAUCACAUGAUAGGGCAUAUGGAGUGGUUUGUGAACCUAGAAAACUCUGUUGAGACAAAGAUCAAGUUUGCAGAUGAUAAUGUCAUCACUGCAUAAGGAGUUGGUAAAGCGAUGAUCAAGAAGAAUGAUGGAACAAUCACCUACAUCUCUAAUGUGUUGUAUGUUCCAAGGACGAAAAACAAUUUUUUGAGCCUAGGCCAAUUACUUGAAAAUGGAUACAACAUGAGGUUGGAGGAUAUGAUGAUGAAAGUGUUCAACAAAAGGGGAGUAUUGAUCUUGAAGGCUUCUCUCUCCCAAAACAGAACCUUCAAGAUUGGUAUUCAACUUGGAGAACACAAGUGUUUGGAAUCCAUUAUUGACGACACAUGAGUUUGGCAUCAAAGACUUGGCUACCUCAACUUCAGGAGCUUGGAAUUGUUAAGAAAGGAUGAAAUGGUAACUAGACUACUUAGCAUCAAAACACCAAUUGAAUUGUGUGAAGAUUCUCUCACAAGUAAGCAAAUCAUAAACUCAUUUAGUUCUCACGUACCAACCAAGUCCACUAGAUCACUUGAACUAGUGUAUACAGAUGUAUGCGGACCUUUGGAAGUUCAAUAACUUGGAGGGAACAACUACUUUGUGAUCUUCAAGGAUGACUUCACAAGGAAGCUAUGGAUCUAUUUAAUAAAGAAAAAUAGUUAAGUUUUUGGCAAGUUCAAGAGCUAUAAGGCACUUGUGGAGAAACAAAGUGGAAUGAAACUGAAACUGUUAAGGAGUGAUGGUGGCGGGGAGUACAAUUCUCAGGAGUUUCACCAAUUUUGGGAAUAGGAGGGCAUAACUCGUGAGGUAAUUACACCAUAUACUCCUCAAUACAAUGGAGCAGCUACGAGGAUUAAUAGAAUUGUCCUAAAUAUGGCAAGAAGCAUGUUGAAGACAAAGAAGCUACCCAAAAGGUUUUGGGCAGAAACAGUCUCUACAACAGCCUAUAUCUUGAACAUAUGUCCAACUAAAAGGCUAGAAAAUACAACUCUAGAAGAAGCUUGGUCAAGGCUUAAGCCAAAUGUGAAGCAUCUCAAAGUUUUUGGCUCAGUAUGCUACAAGAACAUACCAGAUUGUAGAAGAAAGAAGCUGAAUGAUAAAUGAGAGAAAUUGAUCUUCCUAGGUUAUCACUCAACAUGAGCUUACAAUGUGUUUAAUCCGGAAACAAACACUAUCUCAUACAACAUGAAUCUCAAGUUCAAUGAGGUUGAAUCUUGGGAAUGAAAUGAACACAACGCAUGCUCAAACAUAUCAGUUAGGAUGGAUAUUGAUAACACACAGAAUGCAUCAGAACCGCACACAAGCAAUGAUGUAAAUGUUGAUUUUGGUGAAAGACCUCAAAGACAAAGACAUAUGCCAUCAAGGUUAAAAGAUUAUGAGGUGUUUAAUAACUCAAUAAUCACCCAAGAAGAAGAUUUUGUGCAUACUCUACUAGCUGAAAUGGAGCCUAUCUCAUUUGAUCAAGCAAUCAAGGAUUAGUGUUGGAUUAAGGCAAUGAAGGAGGAAAUCAAUUCAAUAGAAAAGAAUGAUACAUGACAACUUACAACACUACCAAAGGGUAAGAAGGCAAUCUCAGUAAAGUGGGUGUACAAGGUGAAAUUAAAGUUGAUGGAACAAUUUCAAAGUACAAGGUCAAAUUAAUAGCAAAGAGGUUCUUGCAAAGACUAGGUUUGGAUUUUGAGGAAGUCUUUGCUCUAAUGGCAAGGAUAGAAACGAUAAGACUUGUCAUUGUCAAUGCAAGUUCAAAAGGUUGGUCAAUUUGUCAAAUAGAUGUGAAGUCUGCAUUGUUGAAUGAUCUAUUAGACAAGGAAAUAUUUGUAACACAACCACCUGGCUUUGAGAUUCAAGAUCAAGAGAAGAAAGUGUAUAUAGGCUACAUAAGGCACUCUAUGGGCUGAAAGAAGCCCCCAGAGCCUGGAACAAAAGAAUAGAUGGAUUCUUUUUGAAACUAGGAUCCCUGAGAUGUAUAAAUGAGCAUGAUAUCUAUACAAAAGGAGUAUCUACCGAAGCAUCAAUAAUUACCUGCUUAUAUGUAGAUGACUUGCUAAUCACAAGCAGUGACAAGGGUGAAAUUGAUUGGUUUUAAGCUAAGUUGAAACUUGAGUUUGAGAUGACUGAUUUGGGAAGUCUAUCAUACUUCCUAGGGUUUGAAUUUCUCAGAAUAGAUGCAGGAAUUUUGAUGCACCAAAAGAAGUACAUUUCUGAUGUACUUGAGAGGUUCAACAUGCUGGAAUACAACCUAGCCACAACAACUUUUGAAACUGGUCACAUUCUAGGCAAGGAAAAUCCUGAAGAUAAAUCAGUUGACUCAACUCUCUAUAGGCAAAUGAUAGGGUCUCUAAGAUACAUUUGCAACUCAAGACCAUACUUAGCUUAUGGUGUUGGAUUGGUUAUUAGAUAUAUGAAGCAUCCUAAAACUUCACAAAUGCACGCAGUAAAGAAGAUACUCAGAUAUCUCAAGGGAAGUAUAGACUAUGGUGAUAUGUUCCUUGCCAACAAAACCAGAGAACUUAGCACAAUCUAUGACUAUACAUAUGUUGAUUGGUGUGGUGAUAAGGAUGAUAGAAAGAGCACAAGUGGAUACAUCAUGUGAAGCGGAAUACAUUGCAGUCUGUUUGGAAGGACAACAAACAUUGCUCAUGGAGUUAGGAAUGCCAAUGGAUGAACUUAUCUUGUUACUUGUGGACAACAAAUCAGCCAUCAAUUUAGCAAAGAGUCCAGUGUCUCAUGACAGAAGCAAACAUAUAGAAACCAAGUAUCAUUUCUCGAGGGAUCAAGUGGAGAGGAACAAUUUGAAGCUAGAAUUUUACAACAAACUGACAUACUCACCAAACCACUGAAAAUAUAUGAUUUUCAAAGACAUAGAAGAGAACUUGGUGUGAUAAGCUUAGCUAGUAUGAAUUAAGGGAGAGUGUUGAGAAUAGUGUAAUUCAUUUAGUUAAUUUUGUUAAUCGAUUAAUAGAUUGUAUAAUCGAUUAAACAGUCUGUUAAUUCUGUUAUAAAAGACAUUGUAGCUGAAAUAAAGAAGGCGCAAAAUAUUUUUCAAUUUUCUCUCUUCUCACAUUUCAUUUCGUUAAUUGAUUAAAUUCUAUUUUUCUUUUCUUCGAACAGAUAUGACAUAACCAUAGUCUAAAAAUGUGAAGGUAAAAUUAAUGGAUUAUCUCAUACUAAUGUCUUUGACAUAUUUAAAUUGCACUAUAAUAAAUUUAGGAGUUUUUGCAACAAUAUAAUCACAUUCAUAACUUAAAACACUAUUAUAUACCAAUGUGAGGGCUGCUCAUCUUUCUCUAUGCCUAGCAAUUGCAUUAUUGUUUUUUUUUUGUAGUCAUGAGUAUUAUGGAUGUUGUGGUGUUAUUGGUGUGAUGGUGAUUAUUGGGGGUGUAAAUUAUUUCAAUUUUGCAUAAAUCAUAUUAAUAUUAAGAGUAGAUUGUGGUCAUUAAGAUGAGAUUUAAUCACAAUUUUCACAUAUUAUAUAUCAAAAUAUAUAUUGAUUGUGAUAUCUUGAUUUUCUCUUUUUAAACUUAUCUUAGGUGACUUUGUCAAAGAUAACCUGGAAGACUACUAUUUUUAAAUUUUCAUUGCUAAAUUGUUGCGUGGAUCAAGUUGGAAUCUUACAAUUUAUCUUUGUAUAAUUGGAAUGUGAUGCAAAUGAGGACUUAGCCACCAAAUUGGAAUCAACUAAAGCAAGUGUUCAUGAGAUUCCUCUUGUCAAAGUUGAGGUUCUUAUGGAGAAUAUAUAACAAGGUCAUUCAUGACAAGUUGUUCAAUGAUUCACACAUGGAGCAUGUGAUGCUCGCCCAUUAUUUAGGACCAUUGCUUUAUUAUUAUUAUCAAAAGUUAGAAGUUGACUUUCAAAUAUAAGAAAACCUUGAAAAUGACAACUUUAUCUUUCUCCAUUCACCACUCAUUCCCACCACACCACCAACUCCAUGAUUGUUGUAGAACCUCAUUUUUAUAAUAUUAUAUAGGGGAACAUGUCCAAUUGAGAGAAGAAAAAAAUAUUCAUACCAUUAAAUUUUCCUUACUAUAUAAAAAACACAUCACAUAUAAAAUGUUAAAAUAAAAUCAUAAAUACUUUAUUUUAAUUCAACAUCAUAAAUUGAGCUUCAUCUAAAUAGGAUAAAAAUGAUGUCUUAAAAUCCCCUCAACGUAUACAUGUCUCUAAAAGAUAAAACUAAACAAAUAGCAAAAAAAUUAUCCAAGUACUAUAAUAGUAGUAUAGUCCAUUGUUUAUUGUUCUUCCACCUACACAUGGUUCAUCUCUUAGAAGAUCAUAGAAUAUAAUUAUCAUAACACAAUCUUAAAAUGAGAUAAAAAUAUCAGUAUAAUAUCAAAUAUCAAAACUUUAAAGAAAUAUGAUAUUUAUAGUAUAAAUAGAGGUAAAAGAGAAAUAACAAUAUUCUCGCUUCAUAUCAUAAUCUAUUAUUCAUAACUUAAAUAUAUAUAAGGAGAGGAUAAGUCGAACACAUCACAACACUUCAGUCAUUUCUUAUGUGACCUUAAUUGUUUCGAACCGUCAAUCUAAAUUAAAAGUUUGCAUACAAUAAGUCUACUAGAGGUGUCUACCUGUCAUUCGAUAUCAUGAGUUCAUGAGAGUAUCUUACCUCAUUUCUAUGAGUAAGUCUCUCUUCAUGCGACUAAGAAUUCAUUUAUAUAUGCCCAGAUCAACGAACGGAUCCUGAAAUUCCCCAACAAUCAACACAAUUUGGGCCAUGAGCCCAAACAAUCAAAUACAAACGUAAAUUAGAUCAUACAUUCUCCCAAAAAAAUCAUCAUGAAAUUUAUAUAAUCAUAAAUUCUUCACUAAGAAAGAAGAAAAGAGAAACAAAUGUAAACAUAAUAUAAAAAUAAUAGAGCAUUAUAAAUUAGACCUCUUACUAUGCCGAACAUUAUCCUUUGAAAUGAAUCACUGAUAAAAUUAAUUAUGAUAUAUGUGUCUUCAUUAUUAUUAUACUGCCAAAAGUAUGUUAUAUAUAGAUAAACUAAGUAUAAGAGAAGUCUUAUGCCUUCCCUUAUUGGGUUGAAUAUAUAAAUUCAAGAAUACAGGUGUGUGGUUUUAUUUCAUCUUAGUGUAUUGAAUCGUAUGCAUAUGCACAUCAACAUGUAUCUUAAUACUCAUAUGGCAUAAAAUAAAAUUAGCAGAAGGAAUAAGCAUAUAAUCGCGUUGCACGUUUCUCCUGUGAACAACAAUUGAAAUUAUUAAUUUCUUUGAAUGAAACUCAUAGCAGAACUUAGAAUAAAAUAAAGAGCAAAUAAAGUGAAAACAUUAUGGAUGUUCCAUACACGCAGAAAUUGAGAGAGUAAAAUCAUAUAUGCCAAACACAACAUUAAUAAUAAUAAAAACAGUAUUUCCCAACUACCAAAUUCAUGGAGUUUAAUUUUGUUAGGGUUUUAAUAUUAUGGCAAUGGAUUGAUGGAUAAAUAUUGCUUCUUCACUUGCUCCCUAUUUGAUAAAAUAUAUAUUAUAUUUAAUCCUUAAUUAAUUAUUAUGUUAUGAUAUUUUAAUCCUAAUACAUUAUUUAUUUAAUUAACCAUUCCUUCUAUAUCAUUUGUAAUACUCAUCUUCUUUCAAUAUGAGGAAUAACACUACUAACUUAAUUAUCUAGCAAAAUACAGCUUAAAAAAUAGUCAUUCAACAAUCAUUUGAUAUAAGUACAUAAUCACAUAUAUUAAUUAACACUAUCUCAAUUAAUCAUUUUCUAGGAAUGUUAUACUAUCACUGCCACAACCAUGUAAAUGUCAUCACUAUAUGGUGUAUAUCAAACAUUGGAUAGGGUGAGAACUUAUCUUACUCAUAUCAUAUUCUACUCUUGUCAUUAAUUAUACUAUUAGUAGCAAUUAAGACCCAACAAAUAACAUUUUCUUGUUAAUGUUUUGGGCUAUUAGUAGCCCAUACCCAUUAGCCUGGACCCAAAAUUGGGUCCACAUAAGAGAAAAUAAUCUCAGAUUUAAAACAGCAAACAAAUUAGAAAUGGCAAAAUGCUAUACAAAUAUGUGAAUGAGAUUUUUCCUUCUUUUUUUCUGUCAUAAACUCAUAAUAACUAAAAAUGUGCCACCCUCUCCUUCCCACCUAAAUAGGAUCAAUAAACACGUGAAAAUAAACAUAACCAUAACAAAACAAUUUUCCAAAAAUAACCAAAAAAUUGUCACAAAACCAGGAAACAAAUUAGCCACAAAUUCUUACCCACCACCACUAUAAAACUCUCUUGAUCCAAUCCUUUUCUCCUCAGGCUGCAAAUUAUCUCUUAAACAAUAAAAGCAAAUAAAAGUGUAUUAGGUAACCUUAUCUCAUUCUUUUUUGUUACCUGAUAUACGCCAUGGAGAUGAAGAAGGUUGCUUGUGCUGUUCUCUUUGCUGCCGCCUCCGUUAGCGCCGUCGUUGCCACCGAUGUGCCUGCUCCAGCUCCUGGACCUAGCAGCGGCGCCACCGCUGUUGGUUCAUUUGUGGGUGCCUCCAUCCUCUCCUUUGUUGCCUACUACUUGUUUUAAACGUGACACAUGCAUGAAGGUGUGUGUGAUUAUGAAGAUUACAUGCAUAACGUGGAAUGAAGUGUAUAAUGCUAGUUACAGCAUCACGAGGGUGAGAAAAUGAGAAUUUUGUUCUCUUAUUUCAUUUCCUUUUGGGUUUGCCUUUUUUUCUAUGUUGUAUGUUCUUUCCAUGUUGAAUGUGUAGGCAUGGAGUGAUUUUAUAUUUCUUAAUAAAAAAGUUUAUUAUUUAUUAUUA